Papaver somniferum (opium poppy) is the source of this 1838-nucleotide RNA transcript. It is a transcript of the gene named PAP-specific phosphatase HAL2-like, with no coding region annotated. The transcript has 4 exons. Lineage: Eukaryota; Viridiplantae; Streptophyta; Magnoliopsida; Ranunculales; Papaveraceae. The record is from RefSeq and is a predicted model, not a curated record.
UGGUGAAGUCUGAGAAUUUGGACCAAAACAAAUAAGAAAACAAUAACCAGGCAUUUAUUAAGAGAAACGAAGGAAUACCCAAAGCCAUAAAUUAACUAGCACAAGGUACUAACUAUAACAUCCAUGAGUUUAGGAAUUCCUCCAUUAUUCUCUACUGCAACCAAACUCUUCAAAAGUACUUCCUUUUUAAGAAAUAAUUACAAUUUAUUGGGUUUCACCAUAAAACCUUCAUUUUCUUCCUCUUCUUUUUCUAUUUCUGGGUGUUGUUGUGAUAAUCGUAAUACCCUUUCUUCUCCAUCCACCAUGGAGAAUGACAAGAUUCAGGGGAUUAAAUCUGAUGAUAAAUAUUCCAAAGAACUAGAUGUUGCUGUUAGAGUUGUUCAGAUGGCUUGUUCGCUUUGCCAAAGGGUUCAAGAAAGUUUGGUUUCUAAAAGAAAUGAACAGGUUAAAUCUAAGGAUGAUAAUUCUCCUGUUACCGUUGCUGAUUGGAGUGUUCAAGCAACUGUUAGUUGUGUAUUAUCUGAGUGCUUUGGGAGAGAGAAUUUGUCAAUUAUUGCUGAAGAAGAUGUCGAGGCUCUUUCACGGGCUGAUGCUGUUGGUUUAUUGGAAUCAGUGGUCAAAGCCGUAAAUGAAUGCUUAGCUGAAGCACCUAAAUAUGGACUUAAAGGCCCCAAUGGAACUCUUGUCACUUCAGAAGUUCUUGAGGCUAUAAGCAGAUGCAACUCGUCAGGGGCUUCUCGGGGAAGACAUUGGGUACUCGAUCCUGUGGAUGGCACGCUGGGAUUUGUACGUGGUGAUCAGUAUGCGGUCGCUUUAGCUAUGAUAGAGGAUGGUGAAGUUGUGAUUGGAGUUCUCGGGUGCCCUAAUUAUCCGAUGAAGAAGGAGUGGUUAAAGUAUCACCACCGUGAUUAUCAGGAAAUGUCGAAGUUGUCCCCAUCCUCAUCUGAAUCAUGGAACAAAGGUUGUGUGAUGUAUGCAAAGAGAGGUAGUGGCAAGGCAUGGAUGCAGCCUUUGGUUCACCAAACUGAGAAUCUUGUGUGGCCAAACUCAGCGAGGGAAAUUCGGGUUUCAGCAAUUGAUGAUCCUGCACUAGCUACCUUUUGUGAACCAGUUGAGAAGGCCAAUUCAAGCCACUCAUUUACAGCGGGACUGGCACAGUCUGUUGGACUUAGGACACAGCCACUUCGCGUCUACAGCAUGGUCAAAUAUGCAGCCAUAGCUCGAGGAGAUGCUGAGAUAUUUAUGAAGUUUGCCAGAGCUGGUUACAAAGAAAAAAUUUGGGAUCAUGCAGCUGGUGUUGUCAUCAUACAAGAGGCUGGCGGUAUGGUAACUGAUGCUGGUGGGCGCCCGUUGGAUUUCUCGAAGGGUGUUUUUUUAGAAGGACUUGAUCGGGGUAUAAUUGCUUGCUCUGGAGCUGCACUUCUUGAUAAAAUAGUCAGGGCUGUUGACCUUAGCUGGGACUCUUCUAAUCUGUGAGGAAUUAAUAUCUAACUCCCUAUUUAUCCCCGGAGGAUACGGCGUCUCUUUUUAAUGUGGCAGUUCUUAACGAAUGCAGGAGAAAAGAAGUUGACAGAGAAAAGUGGUUGCUGAUGAUUAAGGUCAGUAGGCUCUCUCCCAUCUACUAUCCACAGAACAGACUCUUUGUUUGUUUUAGGAAAAAAGAAGUGUCUUACUAGGAUAUAAGAUGGCUUACCCAUGGAUUUCGGGUUCAUAUUUCUCUUUUUUAAAACAUAGUAGAAAGUUGCUUCUUUGGGUAUUCUCUGGUUAAUUUUAGGGAGUACCAUAUUUUUGUAAAGUUGCUCUACACUUGAUAAUAAAUGACACAAUCUCAUGUUCUA